Molecule: long non-coding RNA, 1624 nt
Filed under: Androctonus crassicauda
Lineage: Eukaryota; Metazoa; Arthropoda; Arachnida; Scorpiones; Buthidae
Source: RNAcentral
AUAACUUGUUGAAAUAAAAGCACAACGAUACUGAACUAUAAGUAUAAAUUAUCCGUUUAUUAUUAGGUCUGCUAGUUACAACAUCCUCUACUCAGCAUGAUUAUAACAACUACUACUAGGACAAAGAAAGAAAAAGUUAAAAGAAAGUGUUAACCACAUAUAGUCGUUAAGCUACUAGCGCACUCUAACAGAUAACAUUAACUAUGUUCAGAAAUUCCUAAUUACAAUGAAAAUCUUUAACUUAAGCGAUAUUCUCAACUGUAAUUUUGCAAUAAGUUGGUUAUUGGGGACUGUGAAAUGAAACAUAUAAAAGUUUUAAUAAACAAUAGUAAGUUUUACAUAUAUUAAAGACUAUCACAUGAUUAUAAGUAUAAAAUAGUUUCUUAACCUGUAUAUUUUUGUCAAAUUUAGAAUUUUAUUUUUAGUUUCCGCUCUGCUUUUCUGAAUGCCAAGAUCAGCUAGUUGUGUCGACAUCCUCAUAUGUAUGAGAAUUUCUCCUCUGACCUCUUAAUUGUGGAAGAUUUUCCUUCCAUAAUUCUAUCAAAGUAUUUACUUUGCCAUCUGACCAGUUUUCUGUUCUUUUUUUGUUCUGGUCAGACAAACUUGCCGCUUUUACAAUAUAAGGGCUGCUUGUACCUUGGCUACCGUUGAUUUCCAUUUCUUUAAAAGGAAUAAAAUCAUCUUAAAUUACAAUUAAAGUUUUAAAUAUGUUAAAUAUAGGUAAACAUAUAUGAAAUUUUUAUCAAACUACUACUUACAAGUUCCCACCAAGCAAUAUAAUUUCCAAAGCGGGAGGGAAAAGAUGGCCGACACUUCCUGUUUCAUCCGGAACUGAUCUUUUUGGUCCCGAAUCAUUGUCCAAUCAGGAAUGAGUUUAUAUUUAAACUUGACAGAUCUUCCUCGUUCAACUUAAAUCGGUAUGCACUAGUGCGUGACGUUUUCAAGAGUUUGGCUAACCUUGUUCCGUUCACAUUUAUGAGAUUAAAGAAGUUUUACCACUUGAACUGGUUUACAUUGCAUAGUGUAAACAGGAUAUUAGGGGUUGGUUGACGAUUGUCCUCUCUAUUGUUUAGUGUGGGAGAGUUUUGGUUUAUGGCUUUUUCUCCUUCAACAGUAACAGGUUCUAUUGUGUUAGAUUUACCUAUAUUAGUUAUUUCUUUAAAUAAAUCAUUAGCAUCAUUUUGUUUUGUUCCUUUGAUUACUGUUUUCCAUUCGUUAUUAGAAUUUUUCCCGAAAUAUUGGGAUUUUUAUUAUUAUUUUCAAUGUUUUGUUUAUCAUUAUUUGUCAUAUUUUGAUUAUUUUGUUGUGUUGGUUCAAUUUUUUUGUCACAAUUAGCUUGAAAGUGUCUUCUUUUCCCAUAUUGAAAACAAGUCACUUUGGGGCAGUUUUUUUCUAGAUGUAAGAGAUGUAACAGUGAGGGACAAGAUUGGAUAAUCCCUUCGUAUUGUAUCAAAAGGACCACGUCGUCAAUUUUAAUAUAAUUGGGAUUGGUUUUUCCAUUAAAAUUGUAAUUUUACGAGUGCCGGAUUUCAUCAUUUUUAACUCUAUGAUAUAUAAUUUGGAAGUUUAUUAUUUUCCCAUAUUUGUUUAGUAUUUCUUUUAAUUGGUAUUCACUCAUUUCCCC